GCGGCGGACGGGUGAGUAAUGCAUGGGAAUCUGCCCGAUAGUGGGGGAUAACCUGGGGAAACCCAGGCUAAUACCGCAUACGUCCUACGGGAGAAAGCAGGGGAUCUUCGGACCUUGCGCUAUCGGAUGAGCCCAUGUCGGAUUAGCUUGUUGGUGAGGUAAUGGCUCACCAAGGCGACGAUCCGUAGCUGGUCCGAGAGGAUGAUCAGCCACAUCGGGACUGAGACACGGCCCGAACUCCUACGGGAGGCAGCAGUGGGGAAUAUUGGACAAUGGGCGAAAGCCUGAUCCAGCCAUGCCGCGUGUAUGAAGAAGGCCCUCGGGUUGUAAAGCACUUUCAGUGGGGAAGAAAGCCUCGGGAUUAAUACUUCCGAGGAAGGACAUCACCCACAGAAGAAGCACCGGCUAACUCCGUGCCAGCAGCCGCGGUAAUACGGAGGGUGCGAGCGUUAAUCGGAAUUACUGGGCGUAAAGCGCGCGUAGGCGGUCUGAUCAGCCGGUUGUGAAAGCCCCGGGCUCAACCUGGGAACGGCAUCCGGAACUGUCAGGCUAGAGUGCAGGAGAGGAAGGUAGAAUUCCCGGUGUAGCGGUGAAAUGCGUAGAGAUCGGGAGGAAUACCAGUGGCGAAGGCGGCCUUCUGGACUGACACUGACGCUGAGGUGCGAAAGCGUGGGUAGCAAACAGGAUUAGAUACCCUGGUAGUCCACGCCGUAAACGAUGUCGACUAGCCGUUGGGGUCCUUGAGACCUUUGUGGCGCAGUUAACGCGAUAAGUCGACCGCCUGGGGAGUACGGCCGCAAGGUUAAAACUCAAAUGAAUUGACGGGGGCCCGCACAAGCGGUGGAGCAUGUGGUUUAAUUCGAUGCAACGCGAAGAACCUUACCUACCCUUGACAUCGUGCGAACUUGGUAGAGAUACCUUGGUGCCUUUCGGGAAACGCACAGACAGGUGCUGCAUGGCUGUCGUCAGCUCGU
RNAcentral lists this ribosomal RNA (974 nucleotides) under uncultured Pseudomonadota bacterium. RNAcentral's name for it is "bacterial SSU rRNA". It matches the Rfam family "Bacterial small subunit ribosomal RNA", at positions 95 to 1063 of the family's 1533-position model. Lineage: Bacteria; Pseudomonadati; Pseudomonadota. The record is from RNAcentral.